UACGUAGGGUGCGAGCGUUGUCCGGAAUUACUGGGCGUAAAGCGCGUGUAGGUGGAUUGGUGUGUCAGAUGUGAAAUCCCUGGGCUCAACCCAGGAACUGCACCUGAAACUACCAGUCUUGAGUGGUGGAGAGGGAAGUGGAAUUCCUGGUGUAGAGGUGAAAUUCGUAGAUAUCAGGAGGAACACCAGUGGCGAAGGCGGCUUCCUGGACACCAACUGACGCUGAGACGCGAAAGCGUGGGGAGCAAACAGG
Molecule: ribosomal RNA, 253 nt
Filed under: uncultured bacterium
Lineage: Bacteria
Description: partial 16S ribosomal RNA
Rfam family: Bacterial small subunit ribosomal RNA
Source: RNAcentral